AGUGAACGCUGGCGGUAGGCCUAACACAUGCAAGUCGAACGGCAGCACAGGAGAGCUUGCUCUCUGGGUGGCGAGUGGCGGACGGGUGAGGAAUACAUCGGAAUCUACUCUGUCGUGGGGGAUAACGUAGGGAAACUUACGCUAAUACCGCACACGACCUACGGGUGAAAGCAGGGGACCUUCGGGCCUUGCGCGAUUGAAUGAGCCGGUGGCGGGUUAGCUAGUUGGCGGGGUAAAGGCCCACCAAGGUGACGAUCCGUAGCUGGUCUGAGUGGAUGAUCAGCCACACUGUAACUGAGACACGGGCCAACCUACACCAGGAGGCAGCAGUUGGAAAUAUUGGACAAUCGGCGCAAGCCUGAUCCAGCCAUACCGCGUGGGGUAAGAAGGCCUUCGGGUUGUAAAGCCCUUUUGUUGGGAAAGAAAUCCAUCUGGUUAAUACCCGGGUGGGAUGACGGUACCAAAAGAAUAAGCACCGGCUAACUUCGUGCCAGCCGCCGCAGUAA
RNAcentral lists this ribosomal RNA (506 nucleotides) under uncultured bacterium. RNAcentral describes it as "partial 16S ribosomal RNA". It matches the Rfam family "Bacterial small subunit ribosomal RNA", at positions 29 to 523 of the family's 1533-position model. The record is from RNAcentral.